This 301-nucleotide ribosomal RNA is filed under the name uncultured bacterium. RNAcentral describes it as "partial 16S ribosomal RNA". It matches the Rfam family "Bacterial small subunit ribosomal RNA", at positions 509 to 807 of the family's 1533-position model. The record is from RNAcentral.
CAGUCGCCACGGUAAUACGUAGGGUGCAAGCGUUAAUCGGAAUUACUGGGCGUAAAGCGUGCGCAGGCGGUCCGUUAAGACAGAUGUGAAAUCCCCGGGCUUAACCUGGGAACUGCAUUUGUGACUGGCGGGCUAGAGUAUGGCAGAGGGGGGUAGAAUUCCACGUGUAGCAGUGAAAUGCGUAGAGAUGUGGAGGAAUACCGAUGGCGAAGGCAGCCCCCUGGGCCAAUACUGACUCUCAUGCACGAAAGCGUGGGGAGCAAACAGGAUUAGAUACCCGUGUAGUCCCUGUCUCUUAUAC